RNAcentral lists this ribosomal RNA (283 nucleotides) under uncultured prokaryote. RNAcentral's name for it is "partial 16S ribosomal RNA". It matches the Rfam family "Bacterial small subunit ribosomal RNA", at positions 524 to 805 of the family's 1533-position model. The record is from RNAcentral.
UACGUAGGGGGCUAGCGUUAUCCGGAAUUACUGGGCGUAAAGGGUGCGUAGGUGGUUUCUUAAGUCAGAGGUGAAAGGCUACGGCUCAACCGUAGUAAGCCUUUGAAACUGGGAAACUUGAGUGCAGGAGAGGAGAGUGGAAUUCCUAGUGUAGCGGUGAAAUGCGUAGAUAUUGGGAAGAACACCGGUGGCGAAGGCGACUUGCUGGGCAGCAACUGACGCUGAGGCGCGAAAGCCAGGGGAGCAAACGGGAUUAGAUACCCCCGUAGUCCCUGAGCGGGCU